GCACAGGAAAAAAUAAAAGGGGUGAGGGGCGGCUGCGCAGGCUGUGGUGGGGCACACCAUGGGCAGCCUCUCUGCAAAUACUCACUCUUCCCUCGACCAAGUCAGCGGGUUGCGAGUCCUCCGGGGGAUGGGAGGUAGGGCCGGCGGGCGCCUCCGAUAUCCAAUCUCCGAAUUGGAGAGAAAUCGCCUGUCCAAUAUUUAUUUCCACAUUAAUAAUUUUACGGUUUUGUAACGUUAGUUUAUCAGAACUGGGAGCCCCUCUGAAUCCGCUAAGGAGGAUCUCUUUUAAUUGCUCACUAACGAGGAUGUUGCUAUUUUCUCAGGCGCUGCCAUUCCCGCAGCUAAAUCACAGGAGCCCUAGACAGACCGGAGCCGACAAAAAUGUAGGUUUUGACGUUAAAAGCUAAAUGGGGAAGCAGAAGGUAAAUUGAUGGUAGAUGGGGAUGUCAGUGCCCUGGCCUCAGCUCUGCGCCGGCGGAGCCAAGGCCUGAUAACAGCGGUGAGCUGCGCUCCGCAUCCUGCCCGCACCCGGGGGCAUCGGCAUCCCGUCGAUCUGCCCGGUAAUUCCUGAGGGCCAAAACUUUUUUUGGGAGCUUUUACCGAGGUUAAUGGCACGUAAGAGGAGGGAUAGCAGCCUUUCCCACCCAGAAACUUUUCUCUGUGGGUGCAGGGAAGAAGAGAGAAGGGAGGGCAGGGUGGAGAGCAGCCGGGUCGCUGAAGCCCUGUCCCCUCAGAUUGACUCACGUAUGCGUGUUUUAGGCUUGUAGCCUCGUUUCAUAGCUAAGGGAGCGAGGGCCUCUGCUCUCUUUCAAGAGAACACAGCAGUUUGAUUUUUUUCUCCCCUUGAAAAGGAAGAGCGACAAAAUUCCCCGGGCGACGUCCCGCCUCCCCUUCCCUCCCCGGGAGCGGCCCUUCGCUUCCCCGGGGUGCGGGCCCGGCUGCCGCCCCGAAACAGCGCCGUCGCCCCCUCCCAGGGAGGCGAGGACCUCCCCAGCGGCUGCGUGUCCCCUGGGGGCCCCGAGGAAGACAGCAGAGUGGAUUUUUAGAGCUCAUCUGGAUUUUGGAAAGCAGGGACGCAGCGAGGGGCCGGCCCUGUGCUCCGCUGCUGGCAGCGAGCCUAUCAGGUGCUGGCAGUACUAAGUUUUGGGGGACUCUGCAACAUGCCGGACCUCGUUGCUAUCGGAUGUGUAUGCCAUGCCUGCACUCCGGCAAGCAAAAGAGGAAAAAAAUGUGGUGAGGCUCUUUUUUUCGUCGUUUUGCUUAGUUUUGUGGUCUGGGCCCUUUUUUUUCCACACAUACUCCCCUCUCCCUCGUGAUUCCCAGGAGCUCUUCUUUGCCUCAAAAGAUUAUUGCAAUAAUUAUUUCUCGUUUGAUAUCCUUGUCAAAGAAGUGCAACGGGGCCUCUCGGCCAAGCCAAAGGCACCCCCAGAGCGAGCGCUGGGCCAUGCGCGGGAUAUAAACAGGACUAGGGGAUGCCAUGGAGACAGCAUGAACUUGAAAGGUGGGCAGGGAGGUGGGGAGAAAAGGUUAAUAGUGAAACCUCUGAGCAAAAUAUCCUCUUUUUGCGCUUGGAAACCUAACCUUAAUCCUCCUUUUUCACACGCACUCGCCCAGCGACUCACAAAUACCCCCAGAAGAAAUCUCAAAGUAGCGAUGGGAAGGAAACGCAUUUUGCACGCCUACAGACAUAAUCCCCUCUGCUGUAACGAAGGGCUUAUCAAUGUUUUAUAUAUUUUUAAUUUAGGAUUUUUUUUUUCCUGCAGUCCAUGAAAUAUAUGCCUUUGCAAACCAGUUCCGAUCUUUUCUAUUUCUAAUUGGCCAAUUACUGUUCAGCUGUUUCAGCUUGUCACAUACAAUGGAGAGUAGAGUUGUUAUCUGAAUUAUACAUUCACAUAAAUUUUAGCAAAGCCGAGUGAUGCUCGAGGAGCGGAUUUCUGUGGUUCCCUGUGCCUGCCUCCUUCCAAACCAGCGUGGUGUGUGUCUCCCUCUUCCUCAGUUUUCCCUCCCCCCAACCCCGUUUUCCUCUAGAAAUACCAUUGCUUUGAUGAUGCGAAUUUAGAGCAUUGAUUACAAAUUUAUUCUCAGACACUAUAUAAGUCUUUAUAUCUGCUAUUAGAGACAUCUGGGAAUGAUUAGAGCCGUCCCUCCCCCGUCUCUGCUCCCUCUAUCUUGCAGCGAGGAGCUAGAGACAUGUUGACGUCAGAUCAGACGGCUCGGAGCCAUCCUGCUCUCCACUUGGGUGUAAUCACGGCGACGCUUUCCAAGCCCAGCCCGGCCUCGGCAGCCAGCUGGGAUGCGGGUGCAGUGGGACGCGGCACUCCAGCCCCGAGGCUCCUCGGUACAGCCCGGUUUUGCUCCCCGAAGGCUCCGACUCCUCUGAAUUUGCUGCCGAGGUUGUUUGUUUAUUUGUCUGCUUGGGACUUCGAGAAAGCAAGAGCGGUGCAUUCCGCGGGCGGGUUAUUCCCCAUCCACCCCGCUCCCCCCAGCCCCCGACCCAGCGCUUGCUUUAUCUCAGCCCGAUUUCUCCCAGCCCAUUCGCUCACAGCACUGUCUUCCAAAAUAAAUAUCGAGCCAGGCAGAUUUCCACCUUGUGUCUUGGCAGGGAGGAAUUAGCCAAACAAAGUGCAGCGCUUACGUGCGGGCAGUCGCAGGAGCGCCGACAGCCCGUUAUCCAAAGUGGUAGUCAGGUUUAGAACGAGCUGGGAGAGUUGGAGGCUGCCGUGAAACGAGACGAUUCCCUACCCAAACGGCAGUGCUGCUGGCAAGGAGAUGGCUUUGCACCUGCUAUUAAAUCCUAAUGAAUCGCCUCUAAUUGAGAGCAUGGGCUGGCUGACGGUCACGCUGAAUAGCCAGCCUUGGCUCAGCGGGACCCAAAACCACGUUUGAUGCGCUUAUUUUGACAAACUUUUUACUUUACGAUUUUUAAAAAUGUUUCGUAUCACUCUAUUUUUUCUUUCAAGGAGAUAAAAAAAUAAUAGCUGAAUAAAUACAACUUAAGCCUCCAGUGGCUGUUCGCAGUCUUGGACGGCUGACACUUGUCCAGCUGUACAUUACAAUCAGUGCUACUAGCAGGAAGGACGGGCGGGGGGGUGGAUGAGAAAGCAGUUGAUCUCGUCUCCAGAGGAAAAAGAUAAUGUUAGACAAUUUAUCUGAAGGAUUAAAUUCUCGCGGUAAAAUACGCUUGCCAGGAGGAGGGAGAAAAGAAAAACAAAGCCCCAUGUGACCCUAAAAAUAAAUUUUAAAAUACUUCCAUUUAUUUGUUCCAGCAGAAUAAAAUAAAAUAAACCCCCUAAGAUACCGCAACGCUCCUCUGUGUCUAUCUGUAAUCUCGAAAGGAAAAGGAACAUUUCCUUUCUGAAUCAGUGCAAACGGUAUGCUGGGAGCUCGGCUUCCCACCACAACCGCCGACUCAGGGAGUCGAGCGGGAGUAAGUGAAUUUUUUAAAAGCUGUUGAAGUAAAGGGGAAAAAAAACCCCAAACAAACAAAAAAAUAAAACAAAAAAACCCACCCCAAAACCAAAACAAAAAACCCAAACAAACAAAUUAAAAAAAAAAAAACCCGCAGCAAAAUCCUAUUUCUCCCUCUGUGGGAGACCUCCGACUGGUGGCGGCUCUGCGGCAGGGCUGAGGCUGUUGUCCCGGCACCUCUCUCCGGGGAGUCCGCCCUCUGUCCCGAGGCAGGAGCAGUCUCCCCGCCGGGAGAGGCCGUGCGGGUCCGGCGGAGAGCGGCCCGUGUCCCGGGGUCUGCCCGGGCGAGGCGCAGGGCUCUGCGGCUGGGGGCGAGGGGCGGCUGCCCCGGAGCGGCCUUCUGGGAGCAGCAGCAAUGCGUGAGCGGAACAACGGAGAUCAGCGGGCCCGCAUCUCGGAGCCCUUCAGUUGCUAACCGUGGAGGCUGUUCAAAGCAGAAACAAGCCCCUCCGCUGCCCAAAGGAUUCGGGAGAAAAAUAAAGAGCCUGUCAUUUUAUCUCGGGGUUUCUCGGAACCGCUGAGCGAGCCAGACUCUGCGGCCGCUCCCGCCCUGCACGGCGGAACAGCCGCGGCCGGUGCCUUUCCCUUCCGCUGGCCAAGUGCAUCACUCGGGACGCGGGUCCGGGAGUGCUUGAGGAAGAUUUGUACUUAUUUUUUCCCAGAGAAGGCUUUUCCUUGCUGUGUCUUUUGCCUAAGCCAGGAAAAAUGUUUUUCUCUGCUCCACUAAAAACUCCAGCGAGGGCUGAUUCUGUUUGCAUUAAACCCAAUGGGAGGCUUGUUACUGACUUCAAAGCCCACAAGUGGAUCAAACCAGUCCUGCACUGUUGCAUUUAGUCCAUAGCAAAACUCCCUUUGAGGAAGAUUCUGCAGACUUAAGGACUGAGGAGCUAGGACUGGGAGCUAAGGAAAGGACAUGAAUGACUUCCUUCACAGCUGGUUUUAAAAAGCCAUCUGCUUUAUACAGUCAAGCCAAAACUAAGGGGAGAUGAUCUGAGGUUUAGAAACAUGCAGGAUAAUUUUCACACCAAAUAAGAAAAAUGAGAAAUUAUCUUAACAUAUUGUAACUUGUCAUAAAAAUACAUGUUUCUUUCCAGCUUUAAAAGAGGACUUUAUAAAAUCUACUGUCUUUGAUUUGUUAAGUCGAUUUUAUAUUGAUUUUUUAAUUCAUCUGUUUUUAAGAAAGCGGAAUGAAACACUCGAUGUUUCUAUUAUUUUGAUUGGUGCUUCAUUGUAUAAGAAUUUGGUUAUUGAAACAUACACUAAAUAUUGCACUGUAAAUUGUGUUGUAACUUAUGCAAUACCUUUUGGUAUUAAUAGAAAAAAAUCAAGAUUGCAAAAAUGGUAUUUAAUUUUUUAUUUUAUUUAGUUUAAUAAAAAACUCACUUGACUGCACAUUUCUUUGCUUUAUUUUCUCAUUUGUUGUGUAUAUAUUUGAUAAAAAAUAUCUGUGUCUGUUGCAUAUCAUCUAUCUACUAUGAGAAACUACUGCUGUUCUUAAUAAGCUAUUGAGAAAAAUAAACCAGUUUGCACUUUGAUUUCUAUCACUCCUGGUGAGUGAUUCUUCUGGAAUAAACAUAGCUCUAACACAUGUAAACAACACAGGAAAUUAAUAACAAAAUUCUUUGGAUUUCUU
Molecule: RNA transcript, 5101 nt
Organism: Serinus canaria (Common canary)
Lineage: Eukaryota; Metazoa; Chordata; Aves; Passeriformes; Fringillidae
Exons: 4
Source: RefSeq, a predicted model, not a curated record